Molecule: ribosomal RNA, 301 nt
Filed under: uncultured bacterium
Lineage: Bacteria
Description: partial 16S ribosomal RNA
Rfam family: Bacterial small subunit ribosomal RNA
Source: RNAcentral
CAGUCGCCACGGUAAUACGGAAGGUCCAGGCGUUAUCCGGAUUUGUUGGGUUUAAAGGGAGUGUAGGCGGUCUGUUAAGCGUGUUGUGAAAUUUAGGUGCUCAACAUCUAACUUGCAGCGCGAACUGGCGGACUUGAGUGCACGCAACGUAUGCGGAAUUCAUGGUGUAGCGGUGAAAUGCUUAGAUAUCAUGACGAACUCCGAUUGCGAAGGCAGCGUACGGGAGUGUUACUGACGCUUAAGCUCGAAGGUGCGGGUAUCGAACAGGAUUAGAUACCCCAGUAGUCCCUGUCUCUUAUAC